Molecule: transfer RNA, 76 nt
Filed under: Candidatus Berkelbacteria bacterium
Lineage: Bacteria; Candidatus Berkelbacteria
Description: tRNA-Ala
Rfam family: tRNA
About the family: Transfer RNA (tRNA) molecules are approximately 80 nucleotides in length. Their secondary structure includes four short double-helical elements and three loops (D, anti-codon, and T loops).
Source: RNAcentral
GGGCCUGUAGCUCAGUUGGUAGAGCGCGUGGUUCGCAAUCACGAGGUCAGGGGUCCGACUCCCCUCAGGUCCACCA